Molecule: ribosomal RNA, 413 nt
Filed under: uncultured microorganism
Description: bacterial SSU rRNA
Rfam family: Bacterial small subunit ribosomal RNA
Source: RNAcentral
GAGUUUGAUCUUGGCUCAGAUUGAACGCUGGCGGCAUGCUUUACACAUGCAAGUCGAACGGCAGCGCGGGGCAACCUGGCGGCGAGUGGCGAACGGGUGAGUAAUAUAUCGGAACGUACCCAAGAGUGGGGGAUAACGUAGCGAAAGUUACGCUAAUACCGCAUACGAUCUAAGGAUGAAAGUGGGGGAUCGCAAGACCUCAUGCUCCUGGAGCGGCCGAUAUCUGAUUAGCUAGUUGGUGAGGUAAAGGCUCACCAAGGCGACGAUCAGUAGCUGGUCUGAGAGGACGACCAGCCACACUGGAACUGAGACACGGUCCAGACUCCUACGGGAGGCAGCAGUGGGAAUUUUGGACAAUGGGCGCAAGCCUGAUCCAGCAAUGCCGCGUGAGUGAAGAAGGCCUCGGUUGUAAG